GUUGAAGAACGCAGCAAAAUGCGAUAAGUAAUGUGAAUUGCAGAAUUCAGUGAAUCAUCGAAUCUUUGAACGCACAUUGCGCCCGCUGGUAUUCCGGCGGGCAUGCCUGUUCGAGCGUCAUUUCAACCCUCACGCCCCCGGGUUUGGUGUUGGGGAUCGGCUCUGCCCUUCUGGGCGGUGCCGCCCCCGAAAUACAUUGGCGGUCUCGCUGCAGCCUCCAUUGCGUAGUAGCUAACACCUCGCAACUGGAACGCGGCGCGGCCAUGCCGUAAAACCCCAACUUCUGAAUGUUGACCUCGGAUCAGGUAGGAAUACCCGCUGAACUUAAGCAUAUCAAUAAGCGGAGGA
RNAcentral lists this unclassified non-coding RNA (348 nucleotides) under soil metagenome. RNAcentral describes it as "partial contains 5.8S ribosomal RNA, internal transcribed spacer 2, and large subunit ribosomal RNA". The stretch from base 1 to 120 matches the Rfam family "5.8S ribosomal RNA", at positions 35 to 154 of the family's 154-position model. The record is from RNAcentral.